Molecule: ribosomal RNA, 787 nt
Filed under: Vibrio parahaemolyticus
Lineage: Bacteria; Pseudomonadati; Pseudomonadota; Gammaproteobacteria; Vibrionales; Vibrionaceae
Description: partial 23S ribosomal RNA
Rfam family: Bacterial large subunit ribosomal RNA
Source: RNAcentral
GCACGUACGCCAGUAUGUGUGGAGCCGUCCUUGAAAUACCACCCUUGUAGUGUUGAUGUUCUAACGUCGACCCCUAAUCGGGGUUGCGGACAGUGCCUGGUGGGUAGUUUGACUGGGGCGGUCUCCUCCCAAAGAGUAACGGAGGAGCACGAAGGUGGGCUAAUCACGGUUGGACAUCGUGAGGUUAGUGCAAUGGCAUAAGCCCGCUUGACUGCGAGAAUGACAAUUCGAGCAGGUGCGAAAGCAGGUCAUAGUGAUCCGGUGGUUCUGAAUGGAAGGGCCAUCGCUCAACGGAUAAAAGGUACUCCGGGGAUAACAGGCUGAUACCGCCCAAGAGUUCAUAUCGACGGCGGUGUUUGGCACCUCGAUGUCGGCUCAUCACAUCCUGGGGCUGAAGUCGGUCCCAAGGGUAUGGCUGUUCGCCAUUUAAAGUGGUACGCGAGCUGGGUUUAGAACGUCGUGAGACAGUUCGGUCCCUAUCUGCCGUGGGCGUUGGAAGAUUGAAGGGGGCUGCUCCUAGUACGAGAGGACCGGAGUGGACGAACCUCUGGUGUUCGGGUUGUGUCGCCAGACGCAUUGCCCGGUAGCUAAGUUCGGAAUCGAUAACCGCUGAAAGCAUCUAAGCGGGAAGCGAGCCCUGAGAUGAGUCUUCCCUGAUACUUUAAGUAUCCUAAAGGGUUGUCGGAGACUACGACGUUGAUAGGUCAGGUGUGUAAGUGCUGUGAGGCAUUGAGCUAACUGAUACUAAUUGCCCGUGAGGCUUAACCAUACAACACCCAAGGGGUUU